GGCGGACGGGUGAGUAAUGUCUGGGAAACUGCCUGAUGGAGGGGGAUAACUACUGGAAACGGUAGCUAAUACCGCAUAACGUCGCAAGACCAAAGAGGGGGACCUUCGGGCCUCUUGCCAUCGGAUGUGCCCAGAUGGAUUAGCUAGUAGGUGGGGUAACGGCUCACCUAGGCGACGAUCCCUAGCUGGUCUGAGAGGAUGACCAGCCACACUGGAACUGAGACACGGUCCAGACUCCUACGGGAGGCAGCAUG
Molecule: ribosomal RNA, 254 nt
Filed under: uncultured bacterium
Lineage: Bacteria
Description: partial 16S ribosomal RNA
Rfam family: Bacterial small subunit ribosomal RNA
Source: RNAcentral